This 45-nucleotide non-coding RNA is filed under the name Trichobilharzia regenti. Lineage: Eukaryota; Metazoa; Platyhelminthes; Trematoda; Strigeidida; Schistosomatidae. The record is from RNAcentral.
AUAGAAUUGACGAGUCCCAAAUAGGACGAAAUGCACAUCUACUGU